This 72-nucleotide transfer RNA is filed under the name Bradyrhizobium liaoningense. Its description in RNAcentral is "tRNA-Ser". The record is from RNAcentral. Lineage: Bacteria; Pseudomonadati; Pseudomonadota; Alphaproteobacteria; Hyphomicrobiales; Nitrobacteraceae.
GGCUGCAGCGGUCGCGGGCGGUGCCGGGUCCUGCUGCGGCCUGGGCGCCGGUUCGGGGCUGGCUGCAGGCGC